UGGACGAAGUCUGACGGAGCACGCCGCGUGAGUGACGAAGGCCUUCGGGUCGUAAAGCUCUGUUGUUAGGGAAGAACAAGUACCGUUCGAAUAGGGCGGUACCUUGACGGUACCUAACCAGAAAGCCACGGCUAACUACGUGCCAGCAGCCGCGGUAAUACGUAGGUGGCAAGCGUUGUCCGGAAUUAUUGGGCGUAAAGCGCGCGCAGGCGGUCUUUUAAGUCUGAUGUGAAAGCCCACGGCUCAACCGUGGAGGGUCAUUGGAAACUGGAGGACUUGAGUGCAGAAGAGGAGAGUGGAAUUCCACGUGUAGCGGUGAAAUGCGUAGAUAUGUGGAGGAACACCAGUGGCGAAGGCGGCUCUCUGGUCUGUAACUGACGCUGAGGCGCGAAAGCGUGGGGAGCAAACAGGAUUAGAUACCCUGGUAGUCCACGCCGUAAACGAUGAGUGCUAGGUGUUGGGGGGUUCCACCCUCAGUGCUGAAGUUAACACAUUAAGCACUCCGCCUGGGGAGUACGACCGCAAGGUUGAAACUCAAAGGAAUUGACGGGGGCCCGCACAAGCAGUGGAGCAUGUGGUUUAAUUCGAAGCAACGCGAAGAACCUUACCAGGUCUUGACAUCCUCUGACAAUCCUGGAGACAGGACGUUCCCCUUCGGGGGACAGAGUGACAGGUGGUGCAUGGUUGUCGUCAGCUCGUGUCGUGAGAUGUUGGGUUAAGUCCCGCAACGAGCGCAACCCUUGAUCUUAGUUGCCAGCAUUUAGUUGGGCACUCUAAGGUGACUGCCGGUGACAAACCGGAGGAAGGUGGGGAUGACGUCAAA
RNAcentral lists this ribosomal RNA (823 nucleotides) under uncultured Halomonas sp. RNAcentral describes it as "bacterial SSU rRNA". It matches the Rfam family "Bacterial small subunit ribosomal RNA", at positions 372 to 1189 of the family's 1533-position model. The record is from RNAcentral. Lineage: Bacteria; Pseudomonadati; Pseudomonadota; Gammaproteobacteria; Oceanospirillales; Halomonadaceae.